RNAcentral lists this ribosomal RNA (612 nucleotides) under Marinobacter nauticus. RNAcentral's name for it is "bacterial SSU rRNA". It matches the Rfam family "Bacterial small subunit ribosomal RNA", at positions 54 to 658 of the family's 1533-position model. Lineage: Bacteria; Pseudomonadati; Pseudomonadota; Gammaproteobacteria; Pseudomonadales; Marinobacteraceae. The record is from RNAcentral.
CAUGCAGUCGAGCGGUAACAGGGGUAGCUUGCUACCCGCUGACGAGCGGCGGACGGGUGAGUAAUGCUUAGGAAUCUGCCCAGUAGUGGGGGAUAGCCCGGGGAAACCCGGAUUAAUACCGCAUACGUCCUACGGGAGAAAGCAGGGGAUCUUCGGACCUUGCGCUAUUGGAUGAGCCUAAGUCGGAUUAGCUAGUUGGUGGGGUAAAGGCCUACCAAGGCGACGAUCCGUAGCUGGUCUGAGAGGAUGAUCAGCCACAUCGGGACUGAGACACGGCCCGAACUCCUACGGGAGGCAGCAGUGGGGAAUAUUGGACAAUGGGGGCAACCCUGAUCCAGCCAUGCCGCGUGUGUGAAGAAGGCUUUCGGGUUGUAAAGCACUUUCAGUAGGGAGGAAAACCUUAUGGCUAAGACCCAUGAGGCUUGACGUUACCUACAGAAGAAGCACCGGCUAACUCCGUGCCAGCAGCCGCGGUAAUACGGAGGGUGCAGGCGUUAAUCGGAAUUACUGGGCGUAAAGCGCGCGUAGGUGGUGUGGUAAGCCAGAUGUGAAAGCCCCGGGCUUAACCUGGGAACGGCAUUUCCAACUGUCAGACUAGAGUGUGGUAGAGGG